RNAcentral lists this ribosomal RNA (254 nucleotides) under uncultured bacterium. RNAcentral describes it as "partial 16S ribosomal RNA". It matches the Rfam family "Bacterial small subunit ribosomal RNA", at positions 524 to 776 of the family's 1533-position model. The record is from RNAcentral.
UACGGGGGGAGCAAGCGUUGUUCGGAUUUACUGGGCGUAAAGGGCGCGUAGGCGGCCACCGCAAGUCGGUUGUGAAAUCUCUGGGCUUAACCCAGAAAGGUCAACCGAUACUGCGGGGCUAGAGUGCAGAAGGGGCAACUGGAAUUCUCGGUGUAGCGGUGAAAUGCGUAGAUAUCGAGAGGAACACCUGCGGCGAAGGCGGGUUGCUGGGCUGACACUGACGCUGAAGCGCGAAAGCUAGGGGAGCGAAUGGG